RNAcentral lists this ribosomal RNA (503 nucleotides) under uncultured bacterium. RNAcentral's name for it is "bacterial SSU rRNA". It matches the Rfam family "Bacterial small subunit ribosomal RNA", at positions 27 to 518 of the family's 1533-position model. The record is from RNAcentral.
GGACGAACGCUGGCGGCGUGCCUAACACAUGCAAGUCGAGCGGGACAUACGACGGAGUCAAAGUUUCGGAUGGAGACGAAGAUGUAUGUUCUAGCGGCGGACGGGUGAGUAACGCGUGAGCAACCUGUCCCUUACAGGGGGAUAACACAGCGAAAGUUGUACUAAUACCGCAUGAGACCACGGGAGGACAUCCUCCAGGGGUCAAAGGAGCAAUCCGGUAAGGGGUGGGCUCGCGUCCGAUUAGAUAGUUGGUGAGGUAACGGCCCACCAAGUCGACGAUCGGUAGCCGACCUGAGAGGGUGAUCGGCCACAUUGGGACUGAGACACGGCCCAAACUCCUACGGGAGGCAGCAGUGGGGAAUAUUGGGCAAUGGGGGGAAACCCUGACCCAGCAACGCCGCGUGAGGGAAGAAGGUUUUCGGAUCGUAAACCUCUGUCCUUGGUGAAGAGGAAGAGACGGUAGCCAAGGAGGAAGCCCCGGCUAACUACGUGCCAGCCGCAGC